CGGGGGAAAAAGCCGGUAAAAGGGCACUUUCAGAAGCUGAUUUUGCGGUAGUUUUUGUUUCGCCAUUGUGUGGAGAUUUAACAGCAGUUAAGGAAUCAGAGGACGGAAUAGGCGUAAGGUCNNNNNNNNNNNGCGCUUGGCGGUGGUCCUAACGGCACGUUUCGGCCGGGGACCUGGUUGCUUCUUAGGAGCCAUUUCUGUGUACGUUUUUUUAUCUUUAUUUGUUUUUAC
RNAcentral lists this unclassified non-coding RNA (231 nucleotides) under Hevea brasiliensis (rubber tree). The record is from RNAcentral. Lineage: Eukaryota; Viridiplantae; Streptophyta; Magnoliopsida; Malpighiales; Euphorbiaceae.